AGUGAACGCUGGCGGUAGGCCUAACACAUGCAAGUCGAACGGCAGCACAGUAAGAGCUUGCUCUUACGGGUGGCGAGUGGCGGCCGGGUGAGGAAUACAUCGGAAUCUACUUUUUCGUGGGGGAUAACGUAGGGAAACUUACGCUAAUACCGCAUACGACCUACGGGUGAAAGCAGGGGAUCUUCGGACCUUGCGCGAUUGAAUGAGCCGAUGUCGGAUUAGCUAGUUGGCGGGGUAAAGGCCCACCAAGGCGACGAUCCGUAGCUGGUCUGAGAGGAUGAUCGGCGACACUGGAGCUGAGACACGGUCCAGACUCCUACGGGAGGCAGCAGUGGGGAAUAUUGGACAAUGGGCGCAAGCCUGAUCCAGCCAUACCGCGUGGGUGAAGAAGGCCUUCGGGUUGUAAAGCCCUUUUGUUGGGAAAGAAAAGCAGCAGGUUAAUACCCCGCUGUUCUGACGGUACCCAAAGAAUAAGCACCGGCUAACUUCGUG
This 492-nucleotide ribosomal RNA is filed under the name uncultured bacterium. Its description in RNAcentral is "partial 16S ribosomal RNA". It matches the Rfam family "Bacterial small subunit ribosomal RNA", at positions 29 to 507 of the family's 1533-position model. The record is from RNAcentral.